This 226-nucleotide ribosomal RNA is filed under the name uncultured bacterium. RNAcentral's name for it is "partial 16S ribosomal RNA". It matches the Rfam family "Bacterial small subunit ribosomal RNA", at positions 524 to 749 of the family's 1533-position model. The record is from RNAcentral.
UACAGAGGGUGCGAGCGUUAAUCGGAAUUACUGGGCGUAAAGCGCACGUAGUCGGCUUUGCAAGUCGGGUGUGAAAUCCCCGGGCUCAACCUGGGAACUGCAUCCGAGACUGCAUUGCUAGAGUAUGGGAGAGGGAAGCGGAAUUUCUGGUGUAGCAGUGAAAUGCGUAGAUAUCAGAAGGAACAUCAGUGGCGAAGGCGGCUUCCUGGACCAAUACUGACGAUCA